CCUACGGGAGGCAGCAGUGAGGAAUUUUGGUCAAUGGGCGAGAGCCUGAACCAGCCACGUAGCGUGAAGGAUGACUGCCCUACGGGUUGUAAACUUCUUUUAUAUGGGAAUAAAACGUUCCACGUGUGGGUUUUUGUAUGUACCAUAUGAUUUAGGAUCGGCUAGCUCCGUGCCAGCAGCCGCGGUAAUACGGAGGAUCCGAGCGUUGUCUGGAUUUAUUGGGUGUAAAGGGAGCGUAGGUGGGUUGUUAAGUCAGUUGUGAAAGUUUGCGGCUCAACCGUAAAAUUGCAGUUGAAACUGGCAGUCUUGAGUGCAGUAGAGGUGAGCGGAAUUCGUGGUGUAGCGGUGAAAUGCUUAGAGAUCACGAAGAACUCCGAUUGCGAAGGCAGUUCACUGGACUGCAACUGACACUGAGGCUCGAAAGUGUGGGUAUCAAACAGGAUUAGAUACCCUGGUAGUC
RNAcentral lists this ribosomal RNA (460 nucleotides) under uncultured bacterium. RNAcentral describes it as "partial 16S ribosomal RNA". It matches the Rfam family "Bacterial small subunit ribosomal RNA", at positions 338 to 795 of the family's 1533-position model. The record is from RNAcentral.